This 301-nucleotide ribosomal RNA is filed under the name uncultured bacterium. RNAcentral describes it as "partial 16S ribosomal RNA". It matches the Rfam family "Bacterial small subunit ribosomal RNA", at positions 509 to 809 of the family's 1533-position model. The record is from RNAcentral.
CAGCAGCCGCGGGAAUACGGAGGGCGCGAGCGUUACCCGGAUUUACUGGGCGUAAAGGGCGUGUAGGCGGCCUGGGGCGUCCCAUGUGAAAGGCCACGGCUCAACCGUGGAGGAGCGUGGGAUACGCUCAGGCUAGAGGGUGGGAGAGGGUGGUGGAAUUCCCGGAGUAGCGGUGAAAUGCGCAGAUACCGGGAGGAACGCCGAUGGCGAAGGCAGCCACCUGGUCCACUUCUGACGCUGAGGCGCGAAAGCGUGGGGAGCAAACCGGAUUAGAUACCCGAGUAGUCCCUGUCUCUUAUAA